Molecule: small nuclear RNA, 92 nt
Filed under: Otolemur garnettii (small-eared galago)
Lineage: Eukaryota; Metazoa; Chordata; Mammalia; Primates; Galagidae
Source: RNAcentral
GUGCACUUCAGCAGCACAUGUACUAAAGUCGGGACAAUACAGAGAAGAUUAGCAUGGAUGACAUGGAAGCUUUUGAAGUGUUCCAUAUUCUU